This 575-nucleotide ribosomal RNA is filed under the name Bacillus sp. DA39. RNAcentral describes it as "bacterial SSU rRNA". It matches the Rfam family "Bacterial small subunit ribosomal RNA", at positions 53 to 609 of the family's 1533-position model. The record is from RNAcentral. Lineage: Bacteria; Bacillati; Bacillota; Bacilli; Caryophanales; Bacillaceae.
AAAUGCAGUCGAGCGAAUGGAUUAAGAGCUUGCUCUUAUGAAGUUAGCGGCGGACGGGUGAGUAACACGUGGGUAACCUACCCAUAAGACUGGGAUAACUCCGGGAAACCGGGGCUAAUACCGGAUAAUAUUUUGAACUGCAUAGUUCGAAAUUGAAAGGCGGCUUCGGCUGUCACUUAUGGAUGGACCCGCGUCGCAUUAGCUAGUUGGUGAGGUAACGGCUCACCAAGGCGACGAUGCGUAGCCGACCUGAGAGGGUGAUCGGCCACACUGGGACUGAGACACGGCCCAGACUCCUACGGGAGGCAGCAGUAGGGAAUCUUCCGCAAUGGACGAAAGUCUGACGGAGCAACGCCGCGUGAGUGAUGAAGGCUUUCGGGUCGUAAAACUCUGUUGUUAGGGAAGAACAAGUGCUAGUUGAAUAAGCUGGCACCUUGACGGUACCUAACCAGAAAGCCACGGCUAACUACGUGCCAGCAGCCGCGGUAAUACGUAGGUGGCAAGCGUUAUCCGGAAUUAUUGGGCGUAAAGCGCGCGCAGGUGGUUUCUUAAGUCUGAUGUGAAAGCCCACGGCU